CCUACGGGAGGCAGCAGUGAGGAAUAUUGGUCAAUGGGCGCGAGCCUGAACCAGCCAAGUCGCGUGAGGGAGGACGGCCCUACGGGUUGUAAACCUCUUUUGCCGGGGAGCAACGGGCGUCACGUGUGGCGCCACUGAGAGUACCCGGCGACAAAGCAUCGGCUAACUCCGUGCCAGCAGCCGAGGUAAUACGGAGGACGCGAGCGUUAUCCGGAUUUAUUGGGUUUAAAGGGUGCGUAGGCGGAUCGUUAAGUCAGUGGUCAGAUUGAGGGGCCCAACCCCUUCCCGCCAUUGAAACUGGCGUGCUUGAGUGGAAGAGAAGUAGGCGGAAUGCGUGGUGUAGCGGUGAAAUGCAUAGAUAUCACGCAGAACCCCGAUUGCGAAGGCAGCAUGCCGGCUUCCGACUGACGCUGAAGUACGAAAGCGUGGGGAUCGAACAGGAUUAGAUACCCCAGUAGUC
This 460-nucleotide ribosomal RNA is filed under the name uncultured bacterium. RNAcentral describes it as "partial 16S ribosomal RNA". It matches the Rfam family "Bacterial small subunit ribosomal RNA", at positions 338 to 795 of the family's 1533-position model. The record is from RNAcentral.